This 253-nucleotide ribosomal RNA is filed under the name uncultured bacterium. RNAcentral describes it as "partial 16S ribosomal RNA". It matches the Rfam family "Bacterial small subunit ribosomal RNA", at positions 524 to 776 of the family's 1533-position model. The record is from RNAcentral.
UACGGAGGGUGCAAGCGUUAUCCGGAUUUACUGGGUUUAAAGGGUGUGUAGGCGGACUUUUAAGUCAGCGGUGAAAUCUCCGGGCUCAACCCGGAAACUGCCAUUGAUACUAUUGGUCUUGAAUGUUGUUGAGGUGGGCGGAACGGGUCAUGUAGCGGUGAAAUGCGUAGAUAUCUGGAGGAACACCGGUGGCGAAGGCGGCGUUCUGGACUGUUUCUGACACUGAAUAACGAAAGCCAGGGGAGCAAACGGG